AGUUGUGUGCAUUUCUCUUUGGUAGGCAUUUGGUUUAUCUUUGUAACAUCUUUGGCGCAAUUGAUCUUUGCAUGGCAAGUAGUGCGCAUCACUGUAUCAGUGUGUUUACGUGCGCCGUGCGGUGUAAACAGUUGGUUGUUGUGGUAGGAAAUGCGUUGAAAUUUGUUGUACAAAAUGUCAAAGAUUUUUGAACGAUUUGAGACAUUGAGAUGUAUGGUUCGAGUAUGUGAUAAAAGGUUUGCGUCAUCAGAUACUAAAUCGGGACACCCAAAAAGAGUUCCGUGGCAGAAAAAGGAAGGUGAAUGGAGAAGUAAAUUGACAGCAUUUGCACCGGAUGAGGGGAAGGCUAUAGGCCCAGACAUCAUAAAUUUCUUUCGUGGCCCUCUUUCAUUCAAGCAGUGGUUCGCCAAUGUUAAAGAAGGUCACGCAGAUCACCUCCAGCGUUUUAUUCCAGAGAGACACGAUAUACUAGGAUGUGAUUUAGCCACAUCACAUUUCAUCGUGCAUAGAGGCGGUUCUGUAAAAUUCUGUGACCAUUCGGAGUGGAUUAAGAAAGAUGAAAACGACGAGUAUGAUUUGCCUAACAAGUAUGUACCUAGUAUGUAUUUGGAAGCAGUUGACGCUUCCAACACGGAACUGAGAUAUGAAGGUCUCCGAAAUUUUGUGAACCUUAAACGAUUGAAGUGUCUUAAUUUAAGUAAUUGUGCACACAUUGAUGAUUGGUGCCUCGACAAAAUAAGUGGCGAAUUAAGGACGCUGGAAUAUUUGGACAUCAGCGACUGUAAACAAGUAACCUAUCGUGGCUUAUCUGCCUUUUACCGGUUUGAAAAUUUGAAACGUUUGAAAGUUAAUAAUAUUGCUUCGUCGAGAGAAUUUGAGUUCAUGUGCCUUAUGUUGGAAGACAUAUUUCCUAAUUUGGUUAUCGACGGAGUCAAAUACAUUGAUGUUACGUCUCCAUAAACUUUACAAUGAGGAAAUCGACGUGUAGUUAAUUAAUACUUAAGUUUGUAAUUUAUUCACAUUUUUUUAAUUUUUGCUAACUACCCUUUCGGUAUCGUGGAGUUGGAUUUUGUGCAGAAAGCAACUGACAGCGACAGUCUGCAAUCCUGGUGCGCCUAAGCAGCACACGCGAAUUUCUAGGAAAGUACUUGGGUAUUGGAAGUUGUAGGACGUCGAAUACAGUCGUAGUGUUCCAGUAAAACGUAAGAUAUUUAGUCCACUGCUCAUACGAGACAGUGAAAAAAAUAAAGAAAAUGGGACUGCCCUCACAUGAGGAUACCAGGUACAUAUGUACAUCAAAACAUAAAUGAAUGUGUGUUAGACUUACACAGUUGUAGAUUGCACUGGUAUAGUAGUAAAAUUGCAGUUGUGGACAGUGCGGCAAACUGUGGAGAAGACGAAGGAGACGGCCUGAUUUAUCCCAUGAGCUGGAUGACUCACAUCAACAAGCCACUUGGGUAGCUUCUUACAGAGUUUUCAGUCCAUUAAGCAACGGUGAGUCGAGACCGUCACCAG
Schistocerca nitens (vagrant locust) is the source of this 1515-nucleotide RNA transcript. RefSeq lists it as uncharacterized. The record is from RefSeq and is a predicted model, not a curated record. NCBI's taxonomy places the organism in Eukaryota, Metazoa, Arthropoda, Insecta, Orthoptera, Acrididae. The transcript is spliced from 3 exons.